RNAcentral lists this ribosomal RNA (333 nucleotides) under uncultured soil bacterium. RNAcentral describes it as "bacterial SSU rRNA". The record is from RNAcentral.
GGCGAGGAUGGGUAGGGGUAUCGAGGGAGGAUGCCACACUGAAGUGAGACAGGUCGAGACUCCACGGAGGCGCGGUGCGGAAUCUUGCACGAUGCAGGCAGAGCGCUGAAUGCCCUGGCGACCUGACGCGGCGGUGGUAGGUCGCAUGAUAGCGUACGUCUCGAUCGUCAGUGGUGCUGUAGAGCGUCUGACAUGUCUAAGUGAUCUCGUCGUGCAGAGGCAUCUAGUGAGGUACGUCUCGCGUUAUUCUGAUUUACACUAGUAGUGCGAUCGCGGGAGUAGCUAAUUGAACCGGGUUUAACGCCCGUAGCUUAUUGGAAAGGUAAAGGGCAC